RNAcentral lists this ribosomal RNA (373 nucleotides) under uncultured organism. RNAcentral's name for it is "partial 16S ribosomal RNA". It matches the Rfam family "Bacterial small subunit ribosomal RNA", at positions 526 to 896 of the family's 1533-position model. The record is from RNAcentral.
AGAGGGGUGCGAGCGUUAAUCGGAAUUACUGGGCGUAAAGGGCACGGUAGGUGGAUUUGCAAGUUGGGGUGUGAAAGCCCCGGGCUUAACCUGGGAAUGUCAUCCAAAACUGCAAGUCUAGAGUACAGUAGAGGAAAGUGGAAUUUCCGGUGUAGCGGUGAAAUGCGUAGAUAUCGGAAGGAACACCAGUGGCGAAGGCGACUUUCUGGACUGAUACUGACACUGAGGUGCGAAAGCGUGGGGAGCGAACAGGAUUAGAUACCCUGGUAGUCCACGCCGUAAACGAUGAGAACUAGCCGUUGGAGGCCUUGAGUCUUUAGUGGCGCAGCUAACGCGAUAAGUUCUCCGCCUGGGGAGUACGGCCGCAAGGUUA